UGUAAAUGUGGAAGUACAUCGGGUUGUUGAUA
Molecule: non-coding RNA, 32 nt
Filed under: Homo sapiens (human)
Lineage: Eukaryota; Metazoa; Chordata; Mammalia; Primates; Hominidae
Source: RNAcentral